ACGCUCGACACCUACUGGAGGCAGCAGUGGGGAAUAUUGCACAAUGGGGGAAACCCUGAUGCAGCGACGCCGCGUGGAGGAAGAAGGUCUUCGGAUUGUAAACUCCUGUUGUUGGGGAAAAAGAGGAUGGUACCCAACAAGGAAGUGACGGCUAACUACGUGCCAGCAGCCGCGGUAAUCUGAGGCGGGCUGGACAAGGC
Molecule: ribosomal RNA, 200 nt
Filed under: uncultured bacterium
Lineage: Bacteria
Description: partial 16S ribosomal RNA
Rfam family: Bacterial small subunit ribosomal RNA
Source: RNAcentral